UACAGAGGGUGCAAGCGUUGUUCGGAAUUAUUGGGCGUAAAGCGCGUGUAGGCGGUUUUGCAAGUCGGGUGUGAAAGCCCUCAGCUCAACUGAGGAAGUGCGCCCGAAACUGCAGAGCUUGAGUACCGGAGAGGAUGGUGGAAUUCCCCAAGUAGAGGUGAAAUUCGUAGAUAUGGGGAGGAACACCGGUGGCGAAGGCGACCAUCUGGACGGAUACUGACGCUGAGACGCGAAAGCGUGGGUAGCAAACAGG
Molecule: ribosomal RNA, 253 nt
Filed under: uncultured bacterium
Lineage: Bacteria
Description: partial 16S ribosomal RNA
Rfam family: Bacterial small subunit ribosomal RNA
Source: RNAcentral